RNAcentral lists this transfer RNA (70 nucleotides) under Escherichia coli. Its description in RNAcentral is "tRNA-Phe". It matches the Rfam family "tRNA". From Rfam's summary of the family: Transfer RNA (tRNA) molecules are approximately 80 nucleotides in length. Their secondary structure includes four short double-helical elements and three loops (D, anti-codon, and T loops). Further hydrogen bonds mediate the characteristic L-shaped molecular structure. tRNAs have two regions of fundamental functional importance: the anti-codon, which is responsible for specific mRNA codon recognition, and the 3' end, to which the tRNAs corresponding amino acid is attached (by aminoacyl-tRNA synthetases). tRNAs cope with the degeneracy of the genetic code in two manners: having more than one tRNA (with a specific anti-codon) for a particular amino acid; and 'wobble' base-pairing, i.e. permitting non-standard base-pairing at the 3rd anti-codon position. RNAcentral also lists the same sequence under 6 other names. The record is from RNAcentral. Lineage: Bacteria; Pseudomonadati; Pseudomonadota; Gammaproteobacteria; Enterobacterales; Enterobacteriaceae.
CCCGGAUAGCUCAGUCGGUAGAGCAGGGGAUUGAAAAUCCCCGUGUCCUUGGUUCGAUUCCGAGUCCGGG